This 665-nucleotide ribosomal RNA is filed under the name Erysiphe malvae. Its description in RNAcentral is "partial large subunit ribosomal RNA". It matches the Rfam family "Eukaryotic large subunit ribosomal RNA", at positions 120 to 796 of the family's 3401-position model. Lineage: Eukaryota; Fungi; Ascomycota; Leotiomycetes; Helotiales; Erysiphaceae. The record is from RNAcentral.
AUCUGGCUCCUCUGGAGUCCGAAUUGUAAUUUGUAGAAGAUGCUUUGGGUUGUGGGUUCGGCCUAAGUUCCUUGGAACAGGACGUCAUAGAGGGUGAGAAUCCCGUAUGUGGCCGAGGCCCGCGCCUAUGUAAAGCUCUUUCAACGAGUCGAGUUGUUUGGGAAUGCAGCUCAAAAUGGGUGGUAAAUUUCAUCUAAAGCUAAAUAUGGGCCAGAGACCGAUAGCGCACAAGUAGAGUGAUCGAAAGAUGAAAAGCACUUUGGAAAGAGAGUUAAACAGUACGUGAAAUUGUUGAAAGGGAAGCGCUUGCACCCAGACUUGGGCGCUGCUGAUCACCUUGAGGUCUCCUCGAGUGCACUCGACAGCGCACAGGCCAGCAUCGGUUCGGGUGGCUGGAUAAAGGCCGUAGGAACGUAGCUCUCUUCGGGGAGUGUUAUAGCCUACGGUGCCAUGCAGCCCAGCCGGACCGAGGACCGCGCCUUCGGGCUAGGAUGCUGGCGUAAUGGGUGUAAGCGACCCGUCUUGAAACACGGACCAAGGAGUCUAACAUCUAUGCGAGUGUUUGGGUGGUAAACCCAUACGCGGAAUGAAAGUGAACGUAGGUGAGAACCCCCUUUGGGGGCGCAUCAUCGACCGAUCCUGAUGUCUUCGGAUGGAUUUGAGUA